This 1478-nucleotide small RNA is filed under the name Histoplasma ohiense. RNAcentral describes it as "hypothetical lncRNA". Lineage: Eukaryota; Fungi; Ascomycota; Eurotiomycetes; Onygenales; Ajellomycetaceae. The record is from RNAcentral.
UUGACGAAGAUUGACCUACUCGCAGGAUACUGGCAGAUUCGCGUAGGCGAACUAUCAGUGCCCAAAACAGCGUUUAACACGCAAUGGGGAAAGUUUGAAUUUCUUGCGAUGCCUAUGGGGCUUACAAACGCCCCUGCAACCUUUCAGACGAUAAUGAAUACGAUCCUUGCAAAACAGAACGGCCGAUCGUGCCUCGUAUACCUUGACGAUAUCUUAAUCUUUUCGAACUCGUACGAAGAGCACCUACAACAUGUGGAUCAGGUGCUCACAACUCUGGCAGAGCACAAGCUCUACGCCAAACCAUCGAAAUGUGUGUUUGGUACGAAGGAGUUGGAGUUCGUGGGACAUCUUGUGGGAGGGGGUCGCAUACGCCCAAUCCCCGAAAAACUAGAAGUUAUCGCGAAAUGGCCAAGGCCUAGGAACGUACACCACGUACGCCAAUUUUUAGGACUGGCAUCCUAUUACAGGAGGUUUGUAAAGGAUUUCGCACGAAUCGCUGCUCCGCUGUCAGAUCUUCUUAAGGAGACAGACGCUGAGCUUCGCAAGAAGAAAUUUCGUUCGAUCAUCUGGAACGCCUCCUGCGAAGAGGCCUUUCUUGAACUUAGGGAACGUAUGACAACAUCUCCAGUGCUUGUUCAACCGGAUCGUACGAAGCCCUUCACAAUUGAAACCGACGCAUCAGAAUGGGCCAUUGGGUGCUCCCUCUUGCAAGUGGGGGAGGAUGAUAAAUUACACCCAGUAGCGUAUGAUGGCCGAAAGCUGUCGGGCGCAGAACUUAACUAUCCUGUGCAUGAGAAGGAACUUCUAGCGAUCAAACACGCACUAGGCCUGUGGGAUCGAUAUAUCGACAAUGGGCAUACGACAACGGUGAUCACCGACCACGAAAGCCUCAUUUAUUUGCAAACGACAACCAAACCCUCCAAGCGGCUAGCACGAUGGAUAUCAGAGUUCCAGGCGUACGACCUUCAAAUCAAAUACAGAAAGGGGGCGGACGCUAUCGUGCCAGACGCCAUAAGUCGUAGACCUGACUUCAUGGGAGAAGGUCCAGCGAACGCGGCACAGGGAGAGUUCACACUAAUGGCACUGAGGGGUUGUGAUGAGGCAGAGUGGUUGGAAGCCAUGAUCGCCCGCUUGAAGGAUGGGAGCGUAUCGGCCGAUAAACGCCUGGCGAAGGUAAUAGAAGAGAUGCUUCCAAAAUUCAAGCUUGCGAAGUUAGAGGAGGAUGUUGUGCUUUACCGUGACCUCGGUUACGCAGAGGCACCGUAUCUUGAGCCCCAGUUUCGACGGGACCUGGUAAGUCGUAUGCACAAGGAGUUCGGCCACUUGGGGAGCCCAGGACUUAUGGGUGUUCUGGAAGGUCGAGCGUACUGGCCAAGCAUGGAAGAAGAUAUCCAAGCAUACGCGCAGGAGUGCCCGAACUGCCAAGUCUCAAAGGGCGCAAGGCAAGGAUUGGAGCGUGAGAGGGCACAACAUCAGGU